This 300-nucleotide ribosomal RNA is filed under the name Pseudomonas sp. It matches the Rfam family "Bacterial small subunit ribosomal RNA", at positions 195 to 476 of the family's 1533-position model. The record is from RNAcentral. Lineage: Bacteria; Pseudomonadati; Pseudomonadota; Gammaproteobacteria; Pseudomonadales; Pseudomonadaceae.
UACGGGAGAAAGCAGGGGACCUUCGGGCCUUGCGCUAUCAGAUGAGCCUAGGUCGGAUUAGCUAGUUGGUGAGGUAAUGGCUCACCAAGGCGACGAUCCGUAACUGGUCUGAGAGGAUAAUCAGUCACACUGGAACUGAGACACGGUCCAGACUCCUACGGGAGGCAGCAGUGGGGAAUAUUGGACAAUGGGCGAAAGCCUGAUCCAGCCAUGCCGCGUGUGUGAAGAAGGUCUUCGGAUUGUAAAGCACUUUAAGUUGGGAGGAAGGGCAGUAACUUAAUACGUUGCUGUUUUGACGUU